This is a long non-coding RNA of Bactrocera dorsalis (oriental fruit fly), 6541 nucleotides long. RefSeq lists it as uncharacterized. The record is from RefSeq and is a predicted model, not a curated record. Lineage: Eukaryota; Metazoa; Arthropoda; Insecta; Diptera; Tephritidae. The transcript has 3 exons.
CACCGGUAUAAAGUAACCUCGGACAAUCGAAAAUCUCUAUAUUAGGUAUAUGGGGGCUAAUGUAAUCGUAGGCCGGAUUUUACCCUGUUUGGAUUCAAGAACAUUCUAUCAUCUUGAAAAGAUUCUCUCUGAAUUUCAAUAAUACAGUUCAGGGUUUUACUGAUAUUAGAUCUACAAGUUUGCAGUGCCGGAUUAAACUAGCGCGGGGCCUGUAGCAAAUUCUGUCAAGGGGCCCUUAACUUACUAUAGGUUCUCAAGUUUAGGGUACUACAUAAAACAAAACUGUUACAAAUAAACUUUUCUGGAUUUAUUAUAGGCAAAUUUAGAGAUAAUACUUUCAAUAUCGACUUCUUUAAGCAAGUCAUGCUCUAUAUUCAACAAAGUGAGAUGAUUAAGACGUUUUUUGCCCAUCGUGUUCCUUAAUUCAUUUUUAAUACGUUUUAAUGUUGAAAAAGAACGUUCGCCACUACAGUAAGUGAUCAUGAGAGAUAAGUAAAUUCGCAAAGCAAUUUCUAAGUUUGGGACACUCGAUUCUAAAGAAUUAUUUAAUAAAAGUUUAUAAUGUUGUUGUUCCAGAUACUCCUCGCUAACAGUAGCCACAUCUGUUUUCAGCAGCUCUGCGAACCGCACUAAUUCGCCGCCUAGGCUGUUCUCCAAAUCAUCUUAGUAAGCACUGGCCAUACUAGAGAAGUUUUGCAAAAUCUAUUCUGUUGUAAGAGAUUUUAGCUGUCAAAAUACUUCAAAAACACUAGCAAUUUUGUGAUAUGCUUUCAUAUGUUUAGUUAAAGCAGACAGUACGUUAUCAAUAAUGACAAUAAACACCUUAAAUUCGUAACGUUGUCCAGGUGUUUGAUUUUCAACAAAGACGUCGAGUGUAGUAGAGCCGCUGAAAUGGUCGUACUUUGUAUUUCGCUUGAUUCGCCGUCUGUUACUGGUAUUCUUCACAGUAGGUCAGAUCUUUGGCUCUUUCCUCGUUAUCUGAAAAAAUGGAUCGCAUUGCUUGGACGUAGCCAUAUAAUAAUUCAUAAAGGGCGCAUCCCGUAUUAAGGUCUUGAUCAGACGACUGCAGCGAAGCACUAGUCGCCAAGCGUUCUAGGAUUUCGUUCCACGUAAUUAUCAUUAUUCCCGUUUUAAACUUAUUCAUCGUUGAAAGUAGUCCGUAAACUUUAUUAAGGCACUCCGCUUAUUGAUCCACGUUAUUGAAAAUGUCUUCCAAUACUUGCUUAUUUAAUAGUGAUAAAACCACAUAAAAGUACCUUCGCAGCAUCAGCUCUGGCUGACCACCUAGUGUCCGAUAACCGUUUCAAAAUCGGAAUUUUUGAAGUAGAAUCUUUAAGUGGAAGUUUUCAAUGAAAUCGAAGAAAAGUAAUGCUUCUGUACAGCAGUCUGCAGCGCACUUAGCAACCAAAUUUAAUGAAUGUGCAAGACAGGGAAUGUAUUCUGCAUACUUAUUUAUUUUCUUAAUUCGGGCUUGUAAGCUGAUGUAUUUCCCACUCAUGUUGCUGGCAUUAUAAUAGCUUUGCCCACGACAAUCCUUGAUAUUAAUGCCACUCUCACUCAAGAAAUCUAGUAAACUUUGAGCGAGUUGUUCAGCAGUAUGACCCUCCAUGUCCAAGAACUUAACAAAUCUUUCCACUGGUCCAGAUGGGAGAACAUGACUUGGGACUCUGAAACACCUUGCGCUUAAUGCUGGCCUGAACUAAAAAUUUUUGCCCUGUUAAGAUGUCAGCGUUAUGAUAUAAAAUAAUGUUUUUUUUGCAAUAUGGAAGGUCAAAAGAAUAUCGUUAAACCAUAAUUUUCAAUAAAAAUAUUGUAAACAUUUAAUAAUUAUGCUUAAGUAAUUUCUUUUGACGGCCAUGAAGCGUACAAAAUCUAGAGAUAUUCGAUAAUGAUUUUCUUUUUAUUUUAUUUUAUGAUAGCGGUAUUCGGCAGAAAUUUAUCUUUAUUUUGAUAUAAAAAUUAAAAUAUGUUGUUCCUUAGAUUUUGUAGGAAAUUGAAUGCCCUAAAAAAAGGUCUCGUAUGAUAUUUUCGUAAAUCCAACCGUUUAAAAGAUAUUAAUAGUUAAAGUUUGAUUAUUUUUGGGAAAAUUUUUUAUUUCUUAUGGAUUUUAUAACUCAAUGAAAAAAAUCAUUAUGAGUGAUGAAACUCAUAGGUUUUUGGAGUGGCUUUCUUAGAGGUGUCGGGGUAGGAACCUAUUUUUCCGAGUACCAAUCGAAAAAAAAAAUAUUUUUUUUGAAUCACCCUAAUAUAUGCAUAUAUAUAUAUAUAUAUAUUCCUAUCAUAAAUUGACUAAUACAACUCUGAUUUCAAUACAUAAUAAUAUAGAAAUUUCAAAGAGCAUUUUCCUUUAUUUUCAAGGUAUACAUAUACAUAUGUACACUGGUCAAAGAAAGUAUUCGACAUAUGUAUGUAUUUUUUUAUUUAUUUAUGAAAUAUGUAUUUCUUAAUAUAAACACAUAAAGAACCAAAAAACAGUGUUUUUUAAAGCAAACGUUUAUAUAGUCUGUAAGUUGAUGAGGUUUGUGAUAAUCACAACAACAAAAUUAAACAAAAACGCACCAAAACUAAAUUAUCCUGAAAAUUAAAGCAAAAAAAAAAAUUCGACAAUUACGCAGAAGAGCGAAUUCCAAUGAUUAACGGUGAAAGUUACGAUCGGUUUGAAUAUUUUCUUUAACAUUGUUAUGCAGAAUUCAAUUUAGAAGCGAUAUUUAAAUUAAAUAAGUGAAAUGUUAAACAUGCGUUGCAAAAAAAAAAGAGACUGAAGAAAUCAAAAAUCUGAUCGUUAUACAUUUAAAAGUGGAUUAACCGAAACUAAAAUAGCCGAACUAGUUGAUAGGCCGCGAACAACUGUCCAUUAUAUUAUAAAAAAAUGGAAAGAUAAAAAGUCGGCUGAAAAUCAUCCAAGGUGUGGUCGCCCAAAAGCCUUAACUAAAGCAGACGAAUGUUGGUUGAUUCACCAGGUCAAAAAAGAACCAAAAACAUAUGGCACGGUUCUCUCCAAAACUGUUCAAGAAAACCUAAAUAUAGAUGUGAUACCCCAAACCAUUCGAAAUUAUUUGAAAAUCACUGACUACAGGGAAAGAGUUGCGCGCAAAAAGCCAUAUAUCUCUAAAAAAAAUAGAUUGCAAAGACUAAGGUUUGCAAAAACGUACAUAAACAAGCCCGCUGAGUUUCGGAAUAAGGUGAUAUUUGCAGAUGAGAGCAUAUUCAAUCUUUUUGGAUGUAAUGGUAAAGUAAUUGUGUACAGGAAAACUUACGAACUAGUGCGGAAUCGGAGCGACUUUUCAGUUUUACCAAGAUAACGACCCAAAGCAUUCCGCACUAAAUACAAAGCUUUGGCUUUUAUAUAAAUUUCCUGGAGUAAUUAUAACUCCUGCUCAAAGUCCAGAUUUAAAUCCCAUAGAGCAUCUAUGGGAUCAUUUAGAAAGAAGGCUGAGACAGCGCCAUUUUACGAACAAACCCCAAAUGGAACAGAUACUAAUGGAAAAGUAGUACAAUAUACACCCAAUAUAGACAUAACAAGAAAGUUGGUCGAAUCAAUACCAAGACAUUUAAAAGAAGUAGUCCGAAGUAAAGGAAGAGCUACGCGGUAUUAAAAAGUAAUUUUUUGUUUUCAAACUUGGAUUUUACAUGAAUUGUCGAAUAUUAUUUUUUUUUUGCUUUUAUUUUUGGAGUAAUUCAGUUUUUGUGCUUUUUUGCUUAGUUUUGUAAUUUUUAUUAUAAUAAAACUCAUCAAUUUACAAGCUAAAUAAAUUAUUGCUUUAAAAAACACUGUUAUUUGGUCUUUUAUUUGUUUAUAUUAUGGAAUAUUAGUUAAUUCCAUUUUUUGGCCGAGAUUAAUUUUUUAAUUCCCUGUAAAUAAAACAAUUCAUGAUUAAAUGACAAAACGUUCUGAGUGAUGUCAUGCUAAAAAAUGUCAAACUUUCCAAUGGAAAUGUCAGAUUGCACCUGGCAACACUUAGUGUUGCCUAAUCCAGAAAUAUAUAUAGCAGCCUAUGUACAUCGAUGUUAUAAGAUAACGAUGCCUCCAGUAAUCGUUUUAUUUAUUAAGAACAUGCAUAUAUUAAUAAUGGUUUUGAUAUUUUUUUUUAAUUAAGGUAAAAUUAAUCACAUUUUUUUAAAUAUAAUAUAUACUUAUUCUUAUAAUAUUUUCUCGAUUUUCCUAACUUUUAUGACGUUAAUGUACGGAGCCGAUGGCCGCUACAUCACUGGAGAUCGCCAGCGAUAGACCAAUAACCCACUCUUGCUAAAAGCAACGGAUUAACGCAACCAAGAAGCAUGUACAUAAUUACAAACUGAGAACUGAGAACUGAAACAUCCUGAAAAUAACAAAAGACUUUAACUUCGCUUGCACCGAAGCUAUAAUACCCUUCACAAACAAAGUUUUAUUUACAAGAGAUUGAUUUUGACCGACUUGAUUUCGAAGAAACGGGCCUGUGCAUAAUUUGAGAUUGAUAUCUCAAGAACAGAGACAUGGCCAAAUUGAAUAAGGGUCUCCGAAGUUUCCUUCUGGCUGCUACCAACUUAUCGGCAAACUUAAUAUACCCUUUAAAGGAAUGCAUAUAUGUAAGCAUUGCUAACGUUGUGACUAGCGUCCGACCGAUUAAUCAGCAAUUUUUCGCCGAUUCUUUAUAUUUUUUCGGAUUCCAUUCCAUAUUUUUGUUUUUUUUUUUGCUGUUUUUAAUACCUCAGGAAAAAUGUGAAUAAGUUUAUUUCUACAUUGCAAAAUUUAUCUUCGCACCUUCAUAUUGAUUGACAUAUUAACAGAAAGUUUUGUUUGCGUUUCAUUAACACAUAAUAUUUAAUAUUAUUUUAUAUGUGUUUCUAGUCUGCAGAACGACUACUACGAGGAGGACUAAGAAAUGUAAUUUUGACUGAAAUAUUUAUUUAAUAAAGUGAAUAUUGAAUGUUUCUCUACUUUUCAUGUUAUUUGUUUGUGUUUUUCUUUUGUUAGACUAGUAACUAAAUAGAUUUGUCCAUUAACAUAAUAAUAUUCAUGUAGUUUUUUAAUAAAAUGGCAUCGACAUCGGCCAAAAAUUGGGCAUCGGUGGGACACUACUUGCGACCCUCUUAAUAGUGUUACAAAAGUAGUAUUUAUUUGUAUUUGUAUUGCUAUAUGCAUCCCUUAUUAUGAACAAUAGCUGUAGGUAUAUGGAAUAGCAUUUGUCUUGUUGUAGACAUCUGGCGCCGCGGCUGUCUGCUUGUCGAAACAAUAGACAUCUGGCGCCGCACUACUUAAACAAUUGCUGAGUCUGGCGCCGCGGCUGUCUGCUUGCGUCUGGCGCCGUAUAGCAUUAUGUUCUGGUAAUUUCCAGACGCAAUAUUCUAGAAGGACACGUCGGCAUCAGCGAGAAGUGCGUGGCUAUAUAAGCCGUGGCAGCGCCAACGUAAUCAACCAGUGCUAAGAGUAAACUGCUAUAGUGUAGACGAGUUGUAAAAUAAAGAGAUUUAGUUGAAGUGAAUUAAACGGCUUUUGGUUUCAUUUGUCAAUCCAGAGAUACGAACCCAGUAAAGUAAAACUAGCAAGGAGUAAAUUCGCAACAGUAUUAUUUAAACAUAAAUGUAUUUUUAUUCGUAAAUGUAUUAAAUACAUACAUAUUUACAAAUAACUAUUUAAACAAACAUAUGGCUUUUUAUUCAUGCUUGUACUUAGGAGGAAAUGUAAAAACUCCGUAAGUUAAAUAUUUAUUGUACAGGUCCCUUUCCAGUUCUCAAGUAAAUACUCAACAAAUAAAUUCCUUAUUUCUUGUAGUCUUCUGUAGUCAAGUAAUUUUGAUAGCAGGUUAUGCAUUGUGAUUGAUGCACAUUAGAAGAGCAAGAGAAAUUAAACAAAGAAAAUAUACUUUUGUGUGUAAGUACAUAUAUAUAUAAAUAUUUUCAUUGCGAUUUAAAUAAUCUGGUUGAUACUUCAUAACAAUGAUUUCAACUAAUUUAGCAUGAAUUUAACGAUUACUUUAAAUUUCCUUCAAGAAACAGUUGUUGAUUUCAAUGCAAAACUAGCAUUGCCAUAUUCACAUUUUAUUGAUUUUAGAUUUCUUUAGAGCUGCAUACAUUUCUUAAGCGUUUUUUAAAUGAAGUUUUUACAUUUCUUAAGAGCUGGAACUACCCUUAAUAGACAAAUAUUUGUAACAGAUAACUCUUUUGGAAGAAUAGUUCCUCCUUUCAGUCAAUAAAAUAAUUGCAAAUUUCUUUAAAAAUUUUGAAAUUAACAAACCGAUUUUGCAUUGUGAGGCUUGCUUUCACAUCAAAUCAGCAUAGGGAAAACCUCACAAUAGCGGGGGUGGUGAUUUUUGUGAGGGCGCGAGAAUAAGGCUUUUUUAUUAAUUCUUUUAGAUUUCAGAACCAUACCCAAAAAUGUGCAAAAUUAUGCCGAGUUGACAGUCCUUAGCCAGAUAAAAAUCCGGUUCUGGUUACGUAGACCCGACUGCCGUGGGAACAACAGCUUUAUGCUAUCGAUAGUGUUAGUCGGAAUUUCAAAAUAUGUCGGCGAGGGACCUAUAAAGGACUUAGUUUACAAACUAAAAAAGAGAACAAGUUCAGC